RNAcentral lists this ribosomal RNA (346 nucleotides) under uncultured bacterium. Its description in RNAcentral is "bacterial SSU rRNA". It matches the Rfam family "Bacterial small subunit ribosomal RNA", at positions 1 to 334 of the family's 1533-position model. The record is from RNAcentral.
CUAGCGACUUCAGAGUUUGAUCCUGGCUCAGGAUGAACGCUAGCUACAGGCUUAACACAUGCAAGUCGAGGGGCAGCAGGGAUUUAGCUUGCUAAAUUCGCUGGCGACCGGCGCACGGGUGCGUAACGCGUAUCCAACUUUCCCGUUACUCUCGGAUAGCCUUCCGAAAGGGAGAUUAAUACGAGAUGGUGUUUUAAUUCCGCAUGUUAUUAGAACUAAAGAUUCAUCGGUAACGGAUAGGGAUGCGUGACAUUAGAUAGUUGGCGGGGUAACGGCCCACCAAGUCUACGAUGUCUAGGGGUUCUGAGAGGAAGGUCCCCCACACUGGAACUGAGACACGGUCCAG